RNAcentral lists this ribosomal RNA (744 nucleotides) under uncultured prokaryote. RNAcentral describes it as "bacterial SSU rRNA". It matches the Rfam family "Bacterial small subunit ribosomal RNA", at positions 724 to 1482 of the family's 1533-position model. The record is from RNAcentral.
GGNUACUAAGCAACAACUGACGCUGAUGGACGAAAGCGUGGGGAGCGAACAGGAUUAGAUACCNUGGUAGNCCACGCCGUAAACGAUGCUAACUCGUUUUUGGAAUGUAAGUUUCAGAGACUAAGCGAAAGUGAUAAGUUAGCCACCUGGGGAGUACGAACGCAAGUUUGAAACUCAAAGGAAUUGACGGGGGCCCGCACAAGCGGUGGAUUAUGUGGUUUAAUUCGAUGAUACGCGAGGAACCUUACCAAGGCUUAAAUGGGAAAUGACAGGUUUAGAAAUAGACUUUUCUUCGGACAUUUUUCAAGGUGCUGCAUGGUUGUCGUCAGCUCGUGCCGUGAGGUGUUAGGUUAAGUCCUGCAACGAGCGCAACCCCUGUCACUAGUUGCCAUCAUUAAGUUGGGGACUCUAGUGAGACUGCCUACGCAAGUAGAGAGGAAGGUGGGGAUGACGUCAAAUCAUCACGGCCCUUACGCCUUGGGCCACACACGUAAUACAAUGGCCGGUACAGAGGGCAGCUACACUGCGAAGUGAUGCAAAUCUCGAAAGCCGGUCUCAGUUCGGAUUGGAGUCUGCAACUCGACUCUAUGAAGCUGGAAUCGCUAGUAAUCGCGCAUCAGCCAUGGCGCGGUGAAUACGUUCCCGGGCCUUGUACACACCGCCCGUCAAGCCAUGGAAGUCUGGGGUACCUGAAGUCGGUGACCGUAACAGGAGCUGCCUAGGGUAAAACAGGUAACUAGGGCU